CAGCGUGGGCGCUUGGGGCAAGUUCCUUGGAAGAGGACAGCAUGGAGGGUGAUACUCCCGUUCAUCCCUGAGUGGCUCGUGCGUACGACCCGUUUUCUUUGAGUCGCGUUGUUUGGGAAUGCAGCGCAAAGUAGGUGGUAAAUUCCAUCUAAAGCUAAAUAUUGGUGCGAGACCGAUAGCGAACAAGUACCGUGAGGGAAAGAUGAAAAGAACUUUGAAAAGAGAGUUAAAGAGURCCUGAAACUGCUGAAAGGGAACCGAAUYGUUUCCAGUGUCUAUAAUCUGUGGCAUAUUUCAUUGGCGAGCGUUUGCGUGCGUGUKCUGUGGCAGUGGCUUUUUUGGCUGCGCCUGGUGUGUGUGGUGUGAGUGUUUGCUGGUGCCCUGUGCUGCGGUGGGACGUCAAGGUCAGUUYGUAUGCUGCGGGAAAUGGCUGCCRAGGAGGUAGGGCUUACGCUCCGCGUUUGUCUGUUAUAUCUUGGUGGACGAGUYGUCGCGGUUGGGACUGAGGUGCCUACAACGUGCUUUUGAGUGGGUUUGUGUCUCCGUGUGCGCCGUGUGCG
Molecule: ribosomal RNA, 560 nt
Filed under: Phytophthora colocasiae
Lineage: Eukaryota; Oomycota; Peronosporomycetes; Peronosporales; Peronosporaceae
Description: eukaryotic LSU rRNA
Rfam family: Eukaryotic large subunit ribosomal RNA
Source: RNAcentral